This 66-nucleotide transfer RNA is filed under the name Chiroteuthis picteti. Its description in RNAcentral is "tRNA-Gly". Lineage: Eukaryota; Metazoa; Mollusca; Cephalopoda; Oegopsida; Chiroteuthidae. The record is from RNAcentral.
GUUUUAUUAGUAUAAUUAAGUAUAUUUGUCUUCCAAACAAAAGGUUUAACAUUUUUAAAUAAAAUA